CGAGGAUUCACUCCAUGUUGCCUUAACCUCCAGGGCAAAGCUCUAUCAUCACCACCGUCGUGGCGGUGGGGUGGGUGUGCCAGGGGCUCAGCAAAUGGGGCUCACAGAAGACCCCGAGACAUGGACGGCCCCUAAGCAGAUCGCCUGGGCCAGGAACACGGGGCAUUGUACGAUGUUUCACAAGCUCUGAAGUUAUUUCCCGUCCAGACCCUGUGGUCGUGGGCCAGUGUGGUUUGUCUUCUCCCCUGGCGACGGGCACUGGGAAAACACCCGGGACCAAGAGGCUUGCAAAUCAGUUUCUGUCUGUGCUGUGGGCUUGCUCCUGACAGGUAUAUUCCGGGCGCGGGUGACUCAGGCGCUGGAGGGGCUGCCCCAGUUUCCUCUCUGGUGGGCCCACUGCUGAGAAGCUGCGCCUGCUCGUCAGUUUCCUUUCAGAUUUAGAGGAAUCCUCUGGCAAAAUGAAACUGAAAUCUUCCUUCCCUGCUGAGGUCCCCUGGUGACGGCAGGCUCCGCACAUGCCCUCGGCUGUGAGCUCUGUUGUGGGCUUGGGCUGCUCCCAUGCAUUUUGGGGGUCAGCUUUGUUGAGGUGUCAUUGGCAUACAGUAAAACUCACCAACCUGAAGCGUACCAUGUGACCUGUUUGGACAAGUGUGCGACGCAUAUCCUCUGCUGUCCUAAGAGAAAAUCCCCACCACCCCGAAAGCUCCUUCGAGGCCCUUCGCAGUUAAGCCCUGCAGGCUGACAGCCGCUCACCUGCUGACUGUGCCUGCGGUGGCUUAGCUUUUGGUAUAAUUGUCUAUAACGGCAUCACACAGAGAGGACUUUUCGGUGCCCGGCUUUUUAAACUUAGAAUUGUUCUUGAGAUUCAUCCAAAUCAUUGUAUGUAUCGGGAGUUUGUUCCUUUUGAGUGUGUUGGAAUCUAUUGUGUGACUGUGCCACAACUGGUUUGUCCACUCACCCAU
Molecule: long non-coding RNA, 962 nt
Filed under: Dasypus novemcinctus (nine-banded armadillo)
Lineage: Eukaryota; Metazoa; Chordata; Mammalia; Cingulata; Dasypodidae
Description: lncRNA (ENSDNOG00000052368.1)
Source: RNAcentral